Molecule: ribosomal RNA, 379 nt
Filed under: uncultured bacterium
Lineage: Bacteria
Description: partial 16S ribosomal RNA
Rfam family: Bacterial small subunit ribosomal RNA
Source: RNAcentral
CCUACGGGAGGCAGCAGUGGGGAAUAUUGGGCAAUGGGCGCAAGCCUGACGCAGCAACGCCGCGUGAGGGAAGAAGGCUUUCGGAUUGUAAACUUCUGUUAGCAGGGAAGAACAGAAGACGGUACCUCUUGAAUUAACUACGGCUAACUUCGUGCCGGCAGCCCCGGUAAUACGGUGGUGGCAAGCGUUGUACGGCUUUGCUGGGUGUAAAGGGAGGGCAGCCGGGAAUACAAAUCAGAUGUGAAAUCCCUCGGCUGAACAUCGGAACUGCAUUUGAAACUGGUUGACGUGAGUACAGGAGAGGAUAUCGGAAUUCCGGGUGUAGCGGUGAAAUGCGUAGAUAUCAGGAAGAACAUCAGUGGCGAAGGCGGAUGACUGG